RNAcentral lists this long non-coding RNA (626 nucleotides) under Panax ginseng (ginseng). RNAcentral's name for it is "long non-coding RNA (PGIN_LNC013564)". Lineage: Eukaryota; Viridiplantae; Streptophyta; Magnoliopsida; Apiales; Araliaceae. The record is from RNAcentral.
AAACCCUUUCUUUAGACUUUCUUGCUUAUCAUUGUAAAAUUAACUUAAAGUCUCCUCUAUUUAUUAAAUAGAGGUAACACAAGAAAAAACAUAUUAGACAAUGUGGGGCUUGAUGAAAUUUGUAUUGGUGGUCUCUAAUUAUAAAAUAGAGGUAAGAUAAGAGAACACAUAUUAGACAAUGUGGGGCUUGAUGAAAUUUGUAUUGGUGGUCUCUAAUUAUAAAAUAGAGGUAAGAUAAGAGAACACAUAUUAGACAAUGCGGGACUUGAUGAAAUUUGUAGUGGUGGUCUCUAAUUAUAAAAUAGAGGUAAGAUAAGAGAACACAUUAGACAAUGUGGGACUUAUUGGUAAUGUGCUAUCCUUUGAUUCUUGUAGGAAGUCCUUAGUGAAGGCCUUAAUAGUUGGUGGUCCCCAAGUCUCACAUUAGUUAAUCAGUAAAAGUCCAAGGAAGUUUUCUUUAUAAAAUGACUACCAAGUGUAGCUUAACUAAUGACUACCAAGUCUUGGGAUGCUCUUGCCCCCACAUUAGUUAAUUGGUAAAAGUCUAAGGAAGUUUUCCUUAUAAAAUGACUACCAAGUGUAGCUUAACUAAUGACUACCAAGUCUUGGGCUGCUCUUCCCCUUGG